Molecule: unclassified non-coding RNA, 337 nt
Filed under: soil metagenome
Description: partial contains 5.8S ribosomal RNA, internal transcribed spacer 2, and large subunit ribosomal RNA
Rfam family: 5.8S ribosomal RNA (bases 1-120)
Source: RNAcentral
GAUGAAGAACGCAGCGAAAUGCGAUAAGUAGUGUGAAUUGCAGAAUUCAGUGAAUCAUCGAAUCUUUGAACGCACAUUGCGCCCCUUGGUAUUCCAUGGGGCAUGCCUGUUCGAGCGUCAUUUGUACCCUCAAGCUAAGCUUGGUGUUGGGUGUUUGUCCACUCCCUCGUGUUUGGACUCGCCUUAAAACAAUUGGCAGCCAGUGUUUUGGUAUUGAAGCGCAGCACAAUUUGCGAUUCUAGCCUAGAAUACUAGCAUCCAUCAAGUCAUUUUUAACACUUGACCUCGGAUCAGGUAGGGAUACCCGCUGAACUUAAGCAUAUCAAUAAGCGGAGGA